Long non-coding RNA from Pan troglodytes (chimpanzee), 1547 nucleotides. RefSeq lists it as uncharacterized. NCBI's taxonomy places the organism in Eukaryota, Metazoa, Chordata, Mammalia, Primates, Hominidae. The transcript has 3 exons. The record is from RefSeq and is a predicted model, not a curated record.
CUCACUCUUGCCUGCCUCCACGUAAGGUGUGACUUGCUCCUCCUUGCCUUCCACCGUGAUUGUGAGGCCUCCCCAGCCAUGUGGAACUUGUGGGAUCAGCUGACAUCUGGCUUUGAUGGGAGGAAAGGAGGAGAAACAGAAACAGAAAAGAGAAGCCUGGGAAAAAGGAGGCAACCGCGAUCUCCUUCUGCCUUGGCUGGAAGUGACCUCCAGAUUUGGAAUGCCAGCCAGGCCUGGGCUAGUGCCUGCAAGUCCUGGCUGCUGGCUGCUUUCUUGCUUUUCCUUUCCACCGAGAGAGGAAGAGCUCUUCGGCUGAGGGAAAGGAGCAGGUUGGAUAGCAAGAGCUGGUAUACAAACAUCUCCAACCAAGGAUCAGUGCAUGUGUAGGAAGACAGCAUCAGGAGAAGACACCACAGGAAAUAGCUUCAACGCUUGGGAUUUGGAGUCCCCAUACCUGGGUUCAAGUCCUGGCUCAGACACUUCCAGACCGUGUCAUACUGAGACUCUGUUUUUUUUCUUUGUCUGCAGAAUGGGUAUACAAAUAAUUCCUGUUUCCUACCAUUGAGGCAAGGAGCAAAUGCAAUGUGUAGAGAAAGGUCUUUAAGAAAAGCUAUAAAAAGAUUGGCUGGCCUCAUGGGAGGUAACACAGAACAAGAACACAGUUCACGAUUGCAUUACUGGUUUUUGUAAUUCCAGCAUAAUGGGUGCUAUACCAUUUUUAAGUAUAAAAGUACCGGUAUUAUUGUCGGUGCAAAAUACUGUUAUUUUUAUAAUAGUAAAAUAAUAGGAUUUAACUGUUAUAAUUUAUGUUAUCCUAUACUAUUACCUACUAGUAUAAUGUUUAUAUAAUAUAGAUACAAUUUAAAGUACAUUACUGUUAUAUUCUAAUAAAUGCUGAAUACUAUUAUUUCUAAAGUAUUAAAAUGUGAAAUCUGAAUGAUUUCACGUCUGGAGACAUACUGGGAGAAAUAUGCUGCGUUAAACUUCUAAUCAAGCAAAGAUAUAUUAUUUAGAAAGCAUUUUGAUCAUAACCUUCUUCCAUUUAAAACUCUCCAAAGCAUCUUGUUUUUAUUUUUAUUUCCAUUUCCCACCGUCAGUGAUGAAGUUGGACAUUAUUAUGUAUGUUUAUUAGUGAUUUAUAUUUUCUCCAGAGCUGGCUUAGAUCCGCAUCUACCACCAGGGGGUUCUGAUGGCGUUUUCAUAGAACUGUGGCCUGAGAUAUAAUAUGGGGAGGAGUGGCAGGAUGAGGCAGUGUGGUACGGGAUUGGGGAACAAGAGGGGAAGAAGGGUCCCCUCCAUUCUUCUGAAACGUGCCCACCUCCUUGUCCUCCUCACUCCUGAGUUGGACUUCUUCAGCUCUUCUCCCCUUAAUCUCUACCAGGUACCAAGUCAUUCUCUCAGGGACUAGGACAAAGGACUCUUAGCUGUAGUGGAACUGGCUUUCUUACCAUGAAACAGCAUCUGAGGAUAAACUGUAGAAGAAUUGUAAUUCAACCUUUCAUUCUUACAAAACAGUGGUAUUCAAUAAAAGUGGAUUUAAUUUGCUA